UCGUAACAAGGUUUCCGUAGGUGAACCUGCGGAAGGAUCAUUAACGCGCAGGCCGCAGACGGCCCGCCCCCGGAUGCGUCCGAGGGCGGUGCCGCCGGCCACACGCCCAUUCUUGUCUAUCUACCUGGUUGCCUCGGCGGGCCGCGCACUCGUGCCGCCCGGGGAUGUUUAUCUCCCUGGACCGCGCCCGCCGGAGGAGCGAUUAAAAUCCAUGAAUACUGUUCAGUCUGAGCGUAAGCAAGUGAAAUCAGUUAAAACUUUCAACAACGGAUCUCUUGGUUCCGGCAUCGAUGAAGAACGCAGCGAAAUGCGAUAAGUAAUGUGAAUUGCAGAAUUCCGUGAAUCAUCGAAUCUUUGAACGCACAUUGCGCCCUCUGGUAUUCCGGGGGGCAUGCCUGUUCGAGCGUCAUUUCAACCCCUCAAGCCCGGCUUGUGUGAUGGACGACCGUCUCGCCCUCCCCGAUCCCGGGGAGGGGGACGCGUCCGAAAAGCAGUGGCCAGGCCGCGAUUCCGGCUCCUGGGCGAAUGGGCAACAAACCUACGCCUCUAGGACCGGCCGGCUCUCUGGCCUAGUUUCCGUUAGGGAUGAACUUCCCUACAAUUCAGGUUGACCUCGGAUCAGGUAGGGAUACCCGCUGAACCUAAGCAUAUCA
RNAcentral lists this unclassified non-coding RNA (653 nucleotides) under Nannizzia fulva. RNAcentral describes it as "sequence contains 18S rRNA gene, ITS1, 5.8S rRNA gene, ITS2, 28S rRNA gene". The stretch from base 256 to 409 matches the Rfam family "5.8S ribosomal RNA". Lineage: Eukaryota; Fungi; Ascomycota; Eurotiomycetes; Onygenales; Arthrodermataceae. The record is from RNAcentral.